GGCAAGGGGGGGGGUGCUAUACAUGCAGUCGAACGCUUCUUUUUCCACCGGAGCUUGCUCCACCGGAAAAAGAGGAGUGGCGAACGGGUGAGUAACACGUGGGUAACCUGCCCAUCAGAAGGGGAUAACACUUGGAAACAGGUGCUAAUACCGUAUAACAAUCAAAACCGCAUGGUUUUGAUUUGAAAGGCGCUUUCGGGUGUCGCUGAUGGAUGGACCCGCGGUGCAUUAGCUAGUUGGUGAGGUAACGGCUCACCAAGGCCACGAUGCAUAGCCGACCUGAGAGGGUGAUCGGCCACAUUGGGACUGAGACACGGCCCAAACUCCUACGGGAGGCAGCAGUAGGGAAUCUUCGGCAAUGGACGAAAGUCUGACCGAGCAACGCCGCGUGAGUGAAGAAGGUUUUCGGAUCGUAAAACUCUGUUGUUAGAGAAGAACAAGGAUGAGAGUAACUGUUCAUCCCUUGACGGUAUCUAACCAGAAAGCCACGGCUAACUACGUGCCAGCAGCCGCGGUAAUACGUAGGUGGCAAGCGUUGUCCGGAUUUAUUGGGCGUAAAGCGAGCGCAGGCGGUUUCUUAAGACUGAUGUGAAAGCCCCCGGCUCAACCGGGGAGGGUCAUUGGAAACUGGGAGACUUGAGUGCAGAAGAGGAGAGUGGAAUUCCAUGUGUAGCGGUGAAAUGCGUAGAUAUAUGGAGGAACACCAGUGGCGAAGGCGGCUCUCUGGUCUGUAACUGACGCUGAGCCUCGAAAGCGUGGGGAGCAAACAGGAUUAGAUACCCUGGUAGUCCACGCCGUAAACGAUGAGUGCUAAGUGUUGGAGGGUUUCCGCCCUUCAGUGCUGCAGCUAACGCAUUAAGCACUCCGCCUGGGGAGUACGACCGCAAGGUUGAAACUCAAAGGAAUUGACGGGGGCCCGCACAAGCGGUGGAGCAUGUGGUUUAAUUCGAAGCAACGCGAAGAACCUUACCAGGUCUUGACAUCCUUUGACCACUCUAGAGAUAGAGCUUCCCCUUUCGGGGCAAAGUGACAGGUGGUGCAUGGUUGUCGUCAGCUCGUGUCGUGAGAUGUGGGUAAGUCCCGCAACGAGCGCAACUCCUUAUGUAGGUGCCAUCAUUCAGUUGGGCACUCUAGCAGGACUGCGUGACAACCGGAGAAGGUGGGGGAAUGACGUCAAAUCAUCAUGCCCCCGUAUA
This 1196-nucleotide ribosomal RNA is filed under the name uncultured bacterium. RNAcentral's name for it is "bacterial SSU rRNA". It matches the Rfam family "Bacterial small subunit ribosomal RNA", at positions 28 to 1207 of the family's 1533-position model. The record is from RNAcentral.